This 1233-nucleotide ribosomal RNA is filed under the name Clostridium cochlearium. RNAcentral describes it as "bacterial LSU rRNA". It matches the Rfam family "Bacterial large subunit ribosomal RNA", at positions 1634 to 2874 of the family's 2925-position model. The record is from RNAcentral. Lineage: Bacteria; Bacillati; Bacillota; Clostridia; Eubacteriales; Clostridiaceae.
GUUGGUGCCCGUACCGCAAACCGACACAGGUAGGUGAGGAGAGAAUCCUAAGACCAUCGGAAGAAUUGCUGUUAAGGAACUAGGCAAAUUGACCCCGUAACUUCGGGAGAAGGGGUGCCUGCUUCACGGCAGGCCGCAGUGAAUAGGCCCAAGCAACUGUUUAUCAAAAACACAGGUCUCUGCUAAAGCGAAAGCUGAUGUAUAGGGGCUGACGCCUGCCCGGUGCUGGAAGGUUAAAGGGAUCUGUUAGCGUAAGCGAAGCGGUGAACUUAAGCCCCAGUGAACGGCGGCCGUAACUAUAACGGUCCUAAGGUAGCGAAAUUCCUUGUCGGGUAAGUUCCGACCCGCACGAAUGGCGUAAUGACUUGGGCACUGUCUCAACAGCAAAUCCGGCGAAAUUGUAGUGCAAGUGAAGAUGCUUGCUACCCGCGAUAGGACGGAAAGACCCCGUAGAGCUUUACUGUAGCUUAACAUUGAAUUUCGGUAUUGUCUGUACAGGAUAGGUGGGAGACUUGGAAGCAGGAGCGUCAGUUUCUGUGGAGUCACCCUUGGGAUACCACCCUGAUAGUACUGAAAUUCUAACGGAAAGCCUUGAAACAGGUUGCCGGACAUUGUUAGGUGGGCAGUUUGACUGGGGCGGUCGCCUCCUAAAAAGUAACGGAGGCGCCCAAAGGUUCCCUCAGCGCGGUCGGAAAUCGCGCGUAGAGUGUAAAGGCAUAAGGGAGCCUGACUGCGACACAUACAGGUGGAGCAGGGACGAAAGUCGGGCUUAGUGAUCCGGUGGUUCCUCGUGGGAGGGCCAUCGCUCAACGGAUAAAAGCUACCUCGGGGAUAACAGGCUGAUCUCCCCCAAGAGUCCACAUCGACGGGGAGGUUUGGCACCUCGAUGUCGGCUCGUCGCAUCCUGGGGCUGGAGUAGGUCCCAAGGGUUGGGCUGUUCGCCCAUUAAAGCGGCACGCGAGCUGGGUUCAGAACGUCGUGAGACAGUUCGGUCCCUAUCCGUCGCGGGCGUAGGAAAUUUGAAGGGAGCUGUCCUUAGUACGAGAGGACCGGGAUGGACUGACCUCUGGUGCACCAGUUGUCACGCCAGUGGCACAGCUGGGUAGCUAAGUCAGGAAGGGAUAAACGCUGAAAGCAUCUAAGCGUGAAGCCCACCCUAAGAUGAGAUUUCCCAUGACGUAAGUCAAUAAGAUCCCUUGAAGAACACAAGGUUGAUAGGUCAGAGGUGUAAGU